CUACGGGGGGCUGCAGUCGGGAAUAUUGCCCAAUGCGCGAAAGCGUGAGGCAGCAACGCCGCGUGCGCGAUGAAGGCCUUCGGGUCGUAAAGCGCUUUUCGGUGGGAGGAGGAAGGACCGUACCACCGGAAUAAGGUACGGCUAACUACGUGCCAGCAGCCGCGGUAAAACGUAGGUACCGAGCGUUAUCCGGAUUUACUGGGCGUAAAGCGCGUUCAGGCGGUCUGGCAAGUCGGGCAUGAAAUCUCUCGGCUCAACCGGGAGGGGUGGGCCGAGACUGCUGGGCUUGAGGGCAGUAGAGGGUGGUGGAAUUCCGGGUGUAGUGGUGAAAUGCGUAGAGAUCCGGAGGAACACCAGUGGCGAAGGCGGCCACCUGGACUGUACCUGACGCUCAAACGCGAAAGCUAGGGGAGCGAACGGGAUUAGAUACCCUGGUAGUC
This 440-nucleotide ribosomal RNA is filed under the name uncultured bacterium. Its description in RNAcentral is "partial 16S ribosomal RNA". It matches the Rfam family "Bacterial small subunit ribosomal RNA", at positions 339 to 795 of the family's 1533-position model. The record is from RNAcentral.